AAGUGUUUAUUUUCAUUCUCACGUCAUUCACAGUUGCCGCGGGUUUUAUUAACUUGUACACUUGUAACAAUGUCUGCAGAGCUUCGUGCCGUUGAUAUUUGUUGGAGUACUGUGGAUGUUUCGAGUCCCAUAGUAUUGUUACAAGUUGGCCUGACUGGGAAUCGAACCCGGGACAUCAAUUGGGUGGGCAACGUGACCACCACUACGCCACGUAGGUCAUUAACCUUUAAAUACCUGAAGUUUCAAAUUUUGAUGCCGGGGUUAUAAAUCGCAUUGGGCGCCUACAAUCGAUUUUAAUAUUUGGCUGUUUACAUGUUACCAAAUGUUUUUUUCAAAAUAAAUAUAUAAAAAUAUC
Galleria mellonella (greater wax moth) is the source of this 355-nucleotide long non-coding RNA. RefSeq lists it as uncharacterized. Lineage: Eukaryota; Metazoa; Arthropoda; Insecta; Lepidoptera; Pyralidae. The transcript is spliced from 2 exons. The record is from RefSeq and is a predicted model, not a curated record.